GCCAGGUGUGGUGGUGCAUACCUGUAAUCCCAGCAGCACAGGAGGCUGAGGCAGGAGGAUCACAAAUUUGAGGCCAGCCUCAG
RNAcentral lists this small RNA (83 nucleotides) under Marmota monax (woodchuck). The record is from RNAcentral. Lineage: Eukaryota; Metazoa; Chordata; Mammalia; Rodentia; Sciuridae.